Molecule: ribosomal RNA, 508 nt
Filed under: uncultured bacterium
Lineage: Bacteria
Description: partial 16S ribosomal RNA
Rfam family: Bacterial small subunit ribosomal RNA
Source: RNAcentral
GAUGAACGCUAGCCACAGGCUUAACACAUGCAAGUCGAGGGGAAACGACAUCGAAAGCUUGCUUCCGAUGGGCGUCGACCGGCGCACGGGUGAGUAACGCGUAUCCAACCUGCCCACCACUUGGGGAUAACCUUGCGAAAGUAAGACUAAUACCCAAUGAUAUCUCUAGAAGACAUCUGAAAGAGAUUAAAGAUUUAUCGGUGAUGGAUGGGGAUGCGUCUGAUUAGCUUGUUGGCGGGGUAACGGCCCACCAAGGCGACGAUCAGUAGGGGUUCUGAGAGGAAGGUCCCCCACAUUGGAACUGAGACACGGUCCAAACUCCUACGGGAGGCAGCAGUGAGGAAUAUUGGUCAAUGGGCGAGAGCCUGAACCAGCCAAGUAGCGUGCAGGAUGACGGCCCUAUGGGUUGUAAACUGCUUUUAUAAGGGAAUAAAGUGAGCCUCGUGAGGCUUUUUGCAUGUACCUUAUGAAUAAGGACCGGCUAAUUCCGUGCCAGCAGCCGCCGUAA